Molecule: ribosomal RNA, 101 nt
Filed under: uncultured bacterium
Lineage: Bacteria
Description: partial 16S ribosomal RNA
Rfam family: Bacterial small subunit ribosomal RNA
Source: RNAcentral
ACCAUGGAAGUUGGGGGCGACCCGAAGCCAGUGGCCUAACCGCAAGGAGGGAGCUGUCGAAGGUGAAAUCAAUGACUGGGGUGAAGUCGUAACAAGGUAAC